RNAcentral lists this ribosomal RNA (551 nucleotides) under uncultured archaeon. RNAcentral's name for it is "bacterial SSU rRNA". It matches the Rfam family "Archaeal small subunit ribosomal RNA", at positions 326 to 879 of the family's 1478-position model. The record is from RNAcentral.
CGGGGUGCAGCAGGCGCGAAACCUCUGCAAUAGGCGAAAGCUUGACAGGGUUACUCUGAGUGAUGUCCGCUAAGGGCAUCUUUUGGCACUUCUAAAAAUAGUGUAGAAUAAGGGGUGGGCAAGUCUGGUGUCAGCCGCCGCGGUAAUACCAGCACCCCGAGUGGUCGGGACGAUUAUUGGGCCUAAAGCAUCCGUAGCCGGUUCUGCAAGUCUUCCGUUAAAUCCACCUGCUCAACAGAUGGGCUGCGGAGGAUACUACAGGGCUAGGAGGCGGGAGAGGCAAGCGGUACUCAGUGGGUAGGGGUAAAAUCCUCUGAUCCACUGAAGACCACCAGUGGCGAAGGCGGCUUGCCAGAACGCGCUCGACAGUGAGGGAUGAAAGCUGGGGGAGCAAACCGGAUUAUAUACCCGGGUAGUCCCAGCUGUAAACGAUGCAGACUCGGUGAUGGGUUGGCUUCGAGCCAACCUAGUGCCGCAGGGAAACCGUUAAGUCUGCCGCCUGGGGAAUACGGUCUCAAGACUGAAACUUUUAGGAAUUGUGGGGGGAGCAC